UUUCCGUAGGUGAACCUGCGGAAGGAUCAUUAAAAGUAAAUAUGUAUUCUCUCGAAUAUACAUUUUUAAACCCCUCUCUGUGUACCUUACCUGUUGCUUCCGCUGGGCAGUGAUCUCGGUCACCUGCGCGUCGACGGCUUAGGCCGCUUCGGCGCGGAGAGUCCUCGCGAAAGGACCUGAACGAAACUCUUGCAUUCCUAUGUCAUCUGUCUGAACCUGUUUAUAACAAAUGUUAAAACUUUCAACAACGGAUCUCUUGGUUCUC
Molecule: unclassified non-coding RNA, 265 nt
Filed under: plant metagenome
Description: partial contains small subunit ribosomal RNA, internal transcribed spacer 1, and 5.8S ribosomal RNA
Source: RNAcentral